RNAcentral lists this ribosomal RNA (392 nucleotides) under uncultured bacterium. Its description in RNAcentral is "partial 16S ribosomal RNA". It matches the Rfam family "Bacterial small subunit ribosomal RNA", at positions 338 to 728 of the family's 1533-position model. The record is from RNAcentral.
CCUACGGGAGGCAGCAGUGAGGAAUAUUGGUCAAUGGGCGGGAGCCUGAACCAGCCAAGCCGCGUGAGGGAAGAAUGUACAACGUAUCGUAAACCUCUUUUGUCAGGGAACAAAGGCGGGGACUAGUCCCCUGAUGAGGGUACCUUAAGAAAAAGCAUCGGCUAACUCCGUGCCAGCAGCCGCGGUAAUACGGAGGAUGCGAGCGUUAUCCGGAUUUAUUGGGUUUAAAGGGUUCGAAGAGGGCUUGUUAAGUCAGCGGUAAAAGCCCGGGGCUCAACCCCGGCGAGCCGUUGAAACUGGCGGGUUGGAGUUGGAGAGAAGUACGCGGAAUGCGGGGUGUAGCGGUGAAAUGCUUAGAUAUCGCGAAGAACCCCGAUGGCGAAGGCAGCGUA